CAAUAGCGUAUAUUUAAGUUGUUGCAGUUAAAAAGCUCGUAGUUGGAUUUCGGAUGGGACUUGCCGGUCCGUCGUUUCGAUGUGCACUGGCCAGUCCUAUCUUGUUGUCGGGGACUAGCUCCUGGGCUUCACUGUCCGGGACUAGGAGCUGACGAGGUUACUUUGAGUAAAUUAGAGUGUUCAAAGCAAGCCUACGCUCUGAAUACAUUAGCAUGGAAUAACACGGUAGGACUCUGGCUUAUCUUGUUGGUCUGUGAGACCAGAGUAAUGAUUAAGAGGGACAGUCGGGGGCAUUCGUAUUUCAUUGUCAGAGGUGAAAUUCUUGGAUUUAUGAAAGACGAACUUCUGCGAAAGCAUUUGUCAAGGAUGUUUUCAUUAA
RNAcentral lists this ribosomal RNA (379 nucleotides) under uncultured eukaryote. Its description in RNAcentral is "partial 18S ribosomal RNA". It matches the Rfam family "Eukaryotic small subunit ribosomal RNA", at positions 592 to 976 of the family's 1831-position model. The record is from RNAcentral.